This 115-nucleotide ribosomal RNA is filed under the name Methylococcus capsulatus. Lineage: Bacteria; Pseudomonadati; Pseudomonadota; Gammaproteobacteria; Methylococcales; Methylococcaceae. The record is from RNAcentral.
CCUGGCGGCCAGAGCGAGCGGGAACCACCCGAUCCCAUCCCGACCUCGGAAGUGAAACCGCUUAGCGCCGAUGAUAGUGCAAGAAUACCUGUGCGAAAGUAGGGAACUGCCAGGC